UAUGGUAUAACUUAGUGGCAGACGGGUGAGUAAUGUAUAGGAAUCUACCUAGUAGUACGGAAUAAUUGUUGGAAACGGCAACUAAUACCGUAUACGCCCUACGGGGGAAAAAUUUAUUGCUAUUAGAUGAGCCUAUAUUAGAUUAGCUAGUUGGUGGAGUAAUAGCCUACCAAGGCAAUGAUCUAUAGCUGAUCUGAGAGGAUGAUCAGCCACACUGGAACUGAGAUACGGUCCAGACUCCUACGGGAGGCAGCAGUGGGGAAUAUUGGACAAUGGGCGAAAGCCUGAUCCAGCCAUGCCGCAUGAGUGAAGAAGGCCUUUGGGUUGUAAAGCUCUUUUAGUGAGGAAGAUAAUGACGGUACUCACAGAAGAAGUCCUGGCUAACUCCGUGCCAGCAGCCGCGGUAAUACGGAGAGGGCUAGCGUUAUUCGGAAUUAUUGGGCGUAAAGGGCGCGUAGGCUGGUUAAUAAGUUAAAAGUGAAAUCCCGAGGCUUAACCUUGGAAUUGCUUUUAAAACUAUUAAUCUAGAGAUUGAAAGAGGAUAGAGGAAUUCCUGAUGUAGAGGUAAAAUUCGUAAAUAUUAGGAGGAACACCAGUGGCGAAGGCGUCUAUCUGGUUCAAAUCUGACGCUGAAGCGCGAAGGCGUGGGGAGCAAACAGGAUUAGAUACCCUGGUAGUCCACGCUGUAAACGAUGAAUGUUAAAUAUGGGAGGUUUACUUUCUGUAUUACAGCUAACGCGUUAAACAUUCUGCCUGGGGACUACGGUCGCAAGAUUAAAACUCAAAGGAAUUGACGGGGACCCGCACAAGCGGUGGAGCAUGUGGUUUAAUUCGAUGCAACGCGAAAAACCUUACCACUUCUUGACAUGGAAAUC
RNAcentral lists this ribosomal RNA (875 nucleotides) under Wolbachia pipientis. Its description in RNAcentral is "bacterial SSU rRNA". It matches the Rfam family "Bacterial small subunit ribosomal RNA", at positions 81 to 994 of the family's 1533-position model. Lineage: Bacteria; Pseudomonadati; Pseudomonadota; Alphaproteobacteria; Rickettsiales; Anaplasmataceae. The record is from RNAcentral.